UGCGCAGCAAGAGCUCUGGCGCCAUCUGUGGCUUUAUACGACACAGCUUAUUAUAUCUGAUCAGCGCACGUGGCCGGCCUCAUACAAGUAACGCCUGCAUCGCCGAUUUUGCGCUGUCCUAAGCUUAAGUUUAGCGUAACUUCAGGCAUUAUGCUCAGGUGAGACUGCCAGAGGCUCUCCACUUGUUUGAUUAUUUAAGGCGUUCCUUUAUUUGAUUUUAGCCUUCACUUCAGACUGGCUUCUUCAUUUUUCCCAGGCGAACUUCUCUGGCACGCAUUCGUCACUUCCCCGGCGAAGAAAAAAAUGUACCCUUUCACACUGACAUCUCUUCCCGGCGAAAGUUGACGGGUGAUUUGCUUGGGCGGAAUCUUUUCAUCCAUGAUGAAACAGAGAUGGGUCAAGAAAAUAAGAUGGAAACGGUGGUGGAAGUUACCAGAGAAACAAAGAUACAUGAGUCCUUUUCUUUAGUGAAGUGGAAGCUGUUGUAGACUCAAUCCAUUUACUUGGGUUAUUCAACCAAUUCUGAGAGUCUUUUCAUCCAUGAUGAAACAGAGAUGGGUCAAGAAAAUAAGAUGGAAACGGUGGUGGAAGUUACCAGAGAAACAAAGAUACAUGAGUCCUUUUCUUUAGUGAAAUGGAAGCUGCUGUAGACUCAAUCCAUUUACUUAAGUUAUUCAACCAAUUCUGAGAGUCUUUUCAUCCAUGAUGAAACAGAGAUGGGUCAAGAAAAUAAGAUGGAAACGGUGGUGGAAGUUACCAGAGAAACAGAAAUACAUGAGUCCUUUUCUUUAGUGAAGUGGAAGCUGUUGUAGACUCAAUCCAUUUACUUGGGUUAUUCAACCAAUUCUGAGAGAUGGAAACGGUGGUGGAAGUUACCAGAGAAACAAAGAUACAUGAGUCCUUUUCUUUAGUGAAGUGGAAGCUGUUGUAGACUCAAUCCAUUUACUUGGGUUAUUCAACCAAUUCUGAGAGAUGGAAACGGUGGUGGAAGUUACCAGAGAAACAAAGCCGAACAUGUCUCUGAUGGAAACAUACUUAAAGGCAACAUUCUUCAUUACUAACUGAACAGGAGUCAUGGUUGUAGAUAUGUCUUUGGGUGACACUUAUGGAACCAAAGCCUGUGCAUUCUUUGGAUGAGGAUUCAUUGAGUUUAUCUAGGUUUAUGAGACUUAGCUGAGAGUGGGACCAGGAGAGGUCGAAUCUGCUGUAAUUCAUGAAGAGAAAAAUGUACUUGGAUCGAGAGGACAUGAAUGAAAACUGGUUAUUGAUCUAUAGAGAGACAUCAAGACAAUGAUUCUGCUGCUUGCCAAGUGACAAUGUGCCAUUUGAAAUUGUUCACAGGAUGUAGAAAUUGCUGCCUUCUUAACCUCUUCAGCAGGGAUUUAGUCUAGUCAACAUUUUGCAGGCCCUUGGCCUCAGCCCGAGUCACUUGUACAAAGUCUAUGGAAGCAUUUAUCACCAGCAACCUUGUUACGUGGAACUACCAGACUCGAUUACAUCCCUACUCUUCAGUUAUAACCAACUCAUGAAAGUAAUUCUUAUUUACCAGGAAUAUUCUGAAUUCACUGUUGGGUCAAGUAUUUUUUAUGCCAAUAUGAUGAAUCCAAAAAAUCAGGCUUCUAUCAGGAAUUAGAUAUGAAGUAGUUCUCACCAUGGAAAUUAAUACAAAUAUCAUUUUAGUUAUAUUUUUUAAUGCCCCCGCAGACAAAAUCCAGAGGGGGCAUUAAGCGUUGCCCUUGUCUGUCGUCAAAGGUCACAGCUCAUUAAAUAUGCAAGUUGGGCUCCGCAUGAUAACUUAUGAAAUGUUCAACGGACUUACAAAAUUUUUGGUGUGUUGGUAGAUGACACCAAAAUACAGGCUAAGGUAGAAUUUGGAGUCCACAUGUCAAAGGUCACCGUUCAUUACAUAUGCCAGUUGGUUUCCGCAUGAUAACUUAUGAAAUAUUCAACGGAUUUAAAAAAAUUGGGGUGUAUAGGUAGAUGACAUGAAAAUACAGGCAAAGUUCGAAUUUGGAGUCCGCAGGUCAAAGGUCACAGCUCAUUAUAUAUGUGAGUUGGUUUCCGCAUCAUAAUUUUGGAAAUAUUCCCCAGAUUUUAAAAAUGUUUGGUGUCUGGGGCUCUGGGUAGAUGACACCAAAAUACAGUCAGGUCACAUCAAAUGACCAGACUGUCAUAUCUUCUGUUAGGGAUUAUUAUGGAAAGUGUGAGUCUUUAGGUCAAAGGUCUAAAUUUGUUCAUUGUAUAAAUGCAUAUUGGUUUCUGCGAUAUUAAGUUCAAUCAUAUUGAAUGAAUUUCUGAUUGCGUUGAGCGGGGACACGUCAAAUUUCUAGUUGUAUUUUGUUCAAGAUUUCACUUUUACUGACACAGUAACUUUGUACAUAAAUUUGUUGUUUCAAAAAGUGUAUUAGGUAGAUAACGGGAUUAUUUUAUUCUUUAACCCUUUGAACCCUAAAUAAUUGGGGGCGGCCAUGACCCAUACCCUGAAUUAUUUGCACAUAUCGACCAAAUUCACAAACUCCCAUGAUUUGAACCCCAAUGGCAUCUUCCCCCUGCUGGUACCCCGCCCCUGCCCGGCUGAAGUUGUUUAACUUCUUACAGACCUUGUCUACCAACAGAAAUAUCUUUAGUGUCUGUUUUAAGCUCAAAAUCACUGCUUUGACUCGAGUCAGAUUUAUCAGUAGCUCCCCAUAGUCAGUAGGUGACUUGCAGUGUAUUAGGCAGUGUAAUUUCUACACAUGCCAGACGAGUCUCCGUAGUAGAGUAACAUAUUUUGGCCAUUUCGGUUGCUAAAACCUUCCAAAAUCAAUACCAAUCUUGACUGAAAUUAUUGAUUAAAUAUCCUUGUGUGUACUAGAAAAAUGAUGUCAUUUUUAAAAGAUCACCUAACAAUUAGAAUUCAUGUUUUUUCCAGCCUAUCGGGUAUUGGCAAGUUCACUGCUAUAAACUGGUUCAAAGGGUUAAAUGUUAAAACAAAAUUCGAUAAAACAGUUGAAAUAUUUGGAAAUGUUUGCAUCUAAAAAGUGGAGAAUGAUACAUUUGAAAUAAUAUAACAAGGCCACUUUUCACUUUGUAUUUAGUAACAUUAUAUGAACUUUACAAAGCCCUGACUAUUUUGAAAUCACAUGGGGGGGCUUUGAAAACGGCAAAACUAAAUUAUCACUAUAUCAUUAUAAGUGUUUGUAUAAUUGAAGAAAUAUCUUCCAAAUUAUGGUUAAGUUUUUAGUGCUGACAAAUUGUCAAAAUAAUUAUCAAAGUUAAACAAGACACUUUACCAGAGUGGUUAUUAGAGUAAUAUACCAUAUCACUUUUUCAUAUACAGUACGAUUGUAGUUCCUAAUCUUUGAAUUGUGUUUUCACAAAUUUGUUAUGACAAUUAGAACAAAUAAAGAAUACACUUCUAUCCAUUUUAUACAA
Lytechinus variegatus (green sea urchin) is the source of this 3414-nucleotide long non-coding RNA. RefSeq lists it as uncharacterized. The transcript has 18 exons. The record is from RefSeq and is a predicted model, not a curated record. NCBI's taxonomy places the organism in Eukaryota, Metazoa, Echinodermata, Echinoidea, Temnopleuroida, Toxopneustidae.